AGAUUGCCCUAGCCCCCAAAUAUAUCUGUUCCUGCUGUCAGGCAAUCCAAAAGCCUUAAGGAGACAAAGCCUUUUGUUCUGUAAUUAUGGCAGACAUGAAAUGUAAAGGGCAAAUACCACUGGAAGAAAGAAGUAGACACUGUCUUGAACUCACAGUAAAUUAUUCUGAGAACUGAGUUCAGAGCAGGGCUGGGGGUGAUGGUGAGGGGUGAGAAGAAUCCACAGAAGGAGGAAAGGGCAGGCAGAAAGGGAAGGCUUGGUUCAACCAAAACAAACACUGUUUCUUCCAACUAGUCCUGUUUGGAAGAGCUUUUGGGGUCCAUCUUCCGAAAUCUCCAGAUUGUGGCAAGGACAAUGCUGAGUUAAGCCACAGUUGUUCAUCUGUUCAACAAAGUCUGCCCGUUGUCCGAUCUGCAGCUUUCCGGGGCUGGGGUGUUGAAGAGAACCUGCUGGCUGUGAAACAAAAGGAAAGUUGUUUCAUUUCAUGCCGGUACUUUUCAGUGUGAGCAAGCACAUUUCUUGUCUUUUAAAAAAGGCAUUCUCUUGGAGGAUGUUGAAUUUUUGCCCAGUGAGUUCGGAGCAGCAACCAAGAUUCACACACAUCUGGAAUACAGAGCACCCUAGAGAAGAAGCAGGAAGGAACCUGGAAUAUACUGAAGGCCUACUGUGUGCCGGGCACUACUAUGCUAGGCACUUCCAUCAUUAUUGCAUUCAUAUCAUGAUAACUUUAUAAGUAGAUACCGUUAUUUUGCUCAUCUUGCGGAAGAAAACAAAACCUCAGAGUGGUUCCGUAUCUCACCUGAGGUUCUAUGCUAUACAUAUCCCAACACAGAGUGGCUGAAAACAACACUUUACUAUGGUUGCUUGUGAUCCUAGGGUUGACAGAGCUCCAUUGGGUGAUUCUCACGUGGGUUCUCUCAUGCAGUUGCAGUUAGAUGUCAGCUGUGGCUGUAGUCUUCUGAAGACUCUACUGAGCUGGAUGGCCAAGCACAGUAGAGCGAAAUUUUAUUGAACAAGUGCUGACCUGGGGCUGUCACCUGGGCUGUCAUCUAGAGCACCUGCCUACACAUAGCCUCCCCACAGGAAGUUUGUGUUCCCAGAGGGAUGUCCCAAGAACAAGCAUUCUAAGAGAGCCAGCCAGAAGCUACAAGUCGUCUUCUGCCCUAGCAUCACUUCUGCUGUAUCCUAUUGGUCAAAGUGAACCAGAGGCCUAACCCAGAUUAAAGGAGGGGUGAAUAGACUUCACCUUUUUUUUUUUUUUUUCGGAGACAGAGUUUCACUCUUGUUGCCCAGGCUGGAGUGCAAUGGCGUGAUCUCGGCUCACCACAACCUCUGCCUCCCGGGUUCAAGCGAUUUUUUUUUUCCAGACUUCAUCUUUUAAUGGGAGAAGGCAUAGAAAAGAGUUUGCUGCCUUCUUUAGCCUACUACAUCUACAAAGUGGUGAAGCCAAGAUUUGAAUCCAGGUUAGCCUGACUCCUUCCUUUAGAGACACCUCCAGGCUUCAUUAUGAACCUGCCUAACCACUGAAAAAUGGCCAUUAUUGAUUCUGGUGUUUGCAAAGGAAAUAAGUGGCAAUAUCAACAACACUUAGAUACCUCUUAAUAAAGAGGCCAGUGCAGGCUGCACCAAGCUCCAUUGAGAAGGUCUGAAUCUUCCCACUACCCACUGGAAGCUGUUGUCUUUUUCAACAAAAAGUGAGGAUCUGGAAAUGCCUGCAAGACUUCUGAGGUGCCAGGCAUCCCUCCUUCCACCAUAAGAUGAUGGGCCCUAGCCCAUCAUCUAGGAGAUACUUGAGCCUAUCCCCUAGAUAUCUAGGUUAGGAGUUCUCUGGAAGCUCUGUGAUAAGUGUCAUCUGGAAUCCCGAGCAAAGUUCUGUGAGCUUCAAGAAUAACUUUUUACCAGGUUUCUUUUAAAAAUGAGAGCCCUAGCCAUGUUCCCCAAAACCCAUCCCCGGCUACUGCCCCUGUGGUAACCCACUCUUCUCCAGAGGCUCAUGUGCGUGCUUGUGUUGGGGUCAGCCCUGAUACUGGGUCCCAUGCUGCUCCAAAUCUUUCUGCUGUGCUGUCUGGCACUAUGAGACUAAGGUAAGAAUGCACUUCACUGGAUAUAAGAAAGGCCCACUCGCCCUGGGCCUUGAGUGAGAUUCUGUCAAGGCAGGUCAGUGAAUGAGCAUUCUAUGAAAAGUUGAGUUAUUCUCCCGAGAGGGACUAGAGAAGGUAUAGAAGGUAUUUCCUAUUUUAUUUUUUUAGCAUCCCUUGCAGCUGAAGGGGAGCAGAAUAUACUGCCCGAAAAUAUGCCACUUUGUUGUAUGGGUUAUUUUGAGUUGAAUGCCAUUGAGAAUCAACAGAUGCACAAAGACUUCUCAAAGCUUUCUUUAUCUAAGAGCAGAAACUUCUGAGAAAUGGGAGUUUCCAUCAGUCCUUUCAGGGGAGUUUUAUGGCCAUGAAGAAGAUGGCAAGUCAGCACUGAGAUGAGCCUGCACACACAAACUUUACUAAAAACCCUUAUUGGCCAUUGGCUUCCCCAUAUAUUCACCUUCCCACAAUUAACCACCCCUGGAAGCUCAAAACGCUUUUCCUUUGUCUUGCCACUUCUCCACAAAUACAUUGCCCUUUGUUUGGAUAGUAGAUAAGGCUUGUGGUCUGACCACCUUUCUAGAGUUUUCAUUUCAUUUCUGAGAGGUCUUCUCUAGGCAUAUCAAAUGAACAUUUUUCUCCUGUUCACCUGUCAGCUUAUUUUGCAGGGUCCCAGUCACUGAACCUAAGAGGGUAGAGGAAAAAGGUUUUCUUUCUUCCCCAACACAACUUUGAUUCAUACCUCAAACGUUUAAUUGGCACCUGGUCUGAGGCAGGCACUGCCUUAAACUUCUCAUUCUAAGUACCCCUUUCAUGGCCUCACUACCUUCUCUCCUUUGAGAUGCUCCCAGACCCCACCUUAGGACAUAAAGCCUCCUGCUUCCCCAGUGCCCACACAGGCCCCAGCACCCGGUCAGUGCCCAGCAAGUAUUCAUUCAAUAGAACUCAGCCAGGCAUGAUGCAUCAUGCCUGUAAUCCCAGCACUUUGGGAGGCCAAGGUGGGCGGAUCACUUGAGGUCAGGAGUUUGAGACCAGGCUGGCCAACAUGGCAAAACCCUGUCUCUACUAAAAAUACAAAAAUUAGCCGAACGUGGUGGCAUGUGCUUGUAGUCUCAGCUACUCUGGAGGCUGAGGCACAAGGAUUGCUUGAACUCAGGAGGUGGUGGUUGCAGAGAGCUGAGAUUUUACCACUGCAUUCCAGCCUGAGUGACAGAGUUUCUGUCUCAAAGAAAAAGAAACUUAAAUUUUAGGGAAAGAUUCAAAAGUUGAGGGGAGGAAAUGCUGCAAACUGGAGAGUUAAAAGCGAAUUAUUCUUUAGACAGGGGCCUCAAAAUCACCUCAAUCAAUAUUACUGAAUAAUUAAGCAAACUUUACAUUCACACUCUUGGCAAACAAAAGGAUUUUUCUAAUAAGCUAAUCAUUAGAAGAGAUUGCAAGAGGAAGUUUAACUUAAUUAAGAGGAUAGUUCACAAACCUGUUGUUUUAUCCAUUUCCAAAUAAUAGGCUUACUUACAAAUUUCAAGUGUGCCUUAGGAAUUUAUUAAAGAAGUCUAAAACUUGUCAUUAGGCAAGAUUUUGUAUCAGUAAGUUUAUGUUCACCCUUAAACAGUGAAUACCUUUUAAGUACCCCAAUCCUAACUUUUUGCCAAUUCAAAAUAACCUUAACUUUUUCCACACAUAGUACGUUGAGAAGUGUCCUUGCAAAGCAUCUUAAGAAUGUAGCUUAGUGUCUUCUUUUGUCAAACAGAGAUAGUAGCUAGGUGUGGUGGCAUGCACCUGUUGUCCCACCUACAGUGGAGGCUGAGGCAGGAGGAUCACUUGAGCCUAGGUGUUCUGGGCUGCAGUGAGCUGUGACCAUCAGGUGUUUGCACUAAAUUUAGCAUCAAUAUAGUGAUCUCCCAGGAGCAGGGAACCACCAGGUUGCCUAAGGAGAGGUGAACCAACCCAGGUCAGAAAUGGAGCAGGUCAAAGUUCCAGGGCUGAUCAGUAGUGGGAUGGUGCCUGUGGAUAACCACUGCACUUCAGCCUGGGCAACAUAGUGAGACCCUCUUUUGUGUAUGUGUGUGUGACAGGGUCUUGCUCUGUCUGCCAGGCUGGAGUGCAGUGGCACAAUAUCGGCUCACGGCAACCUCUGCCUCCUGGCUCAAGCGAUUCUCCUGCCUCAGCUUCCUGAGUAGCUGGGAUUACAGGCGUGUGCCACCAUGCCCAGCUAAUUUUUGUAUUUUUAGUAGAGAUGGGGUUUCACCAUGUUGGCCAGGCUGGUCUCGAACUCCUAACCUCAGGUAAUCCUCCCACCUCAGCUUCCCAAAGUGCUGGGAUUACAGGCGCGAGCCACUGCACCUGGCCAAUGUGACCCUCUUAAAAAACAGAAAUAUUAAUGGCACCUCUAUUGUAGGAUGGUCACCGAGAAUUCAGUGAGAUUGUGACAGGGAAAAUAUUUUGGGAAAUUUUUAAAGCUUUUUUUUUUUUUUAAACACUCUGUAUUUAUGUCCUAUAUCUGUUGGCCUUCUCCCAUUUCGUCUGUAGUCUUUUACUGCCUUGCAGCAUUCAUUGCCUCAGGACAAAUGACAUGACAGAAAAGCAGCACAACAGUUUAGGAGCCGUCAGAAGAAAGCCUUUUGAACUGCAAAGUUUAAGUCUGGGCCUGGUGCAGUGGCUCAGGCCUGUAAUCCCAGCACUUUGGGAGGCUGAGGCUGGCAGAUCACCUGAGGUCAGGAGUCUGAAAUCAGCCUGGCCAACAUGGCGAAACUCCAUCUCUACUAAAAAUACAAAAUUUAACUGGGCUUGGUGGCAGGAUCUGUAGUCCCAGCUACUUGGAGGCCGAGGCAAGAGGAUGGCUUGAACCUGGGAGGUGGAGUUUGCAGUGAGUCGAGAUUGUGCCACUGCAUUCCAGCCCGGGUGACAGAGCAAGACUAUCUCAGAAAAAAAAAAAAAAAAAAAAGUCUAAGUCUGAAAUAAUUGAAGGUGUCAAGUUUGUGCCCUAAAUAUUGGAACUGGAAAAACAAAGAGAUUGCCCUGUCUCCAGGAAUAUGGGAUUAUCAGGACUAUGGAAGGGAGGAAAGAAGCAAAGGGAGGCAGAAAGUUGGCAGAGUCCCUGAGAGUGGGGCCUGCACCUUGCUCCUUGCCCAGGGACUUGAUCUGGAGUCCCUGAUGUGCAAUGAUGAGUGACAGGAAAGCAGAGAGGACUGGUGCCUCCUGUCUCCAGGGCAGAGGAAUUGUUUGCAAAAUGUGCUCAGACAGAGAGGCUCUAGGUCAGAACCAGGUGCUGGAAACAGUGGCUUGCUGCCUGUGAACUACGAAGUGGUUUUGAGGUAGCAAAGAGAGUGAUGGGUUUUAGAUAUGGAGUAAAGGAGGACCAUCAGGCAGAAGCCUGCAAGAAUGUCAGCCCUCACACUGCAACAUAAUGACAGGUGCCACUGUGGAUAGAUGAGCAAACGCAACAGCAAGUCCUAGCUACCGCCCAUCACCUGGGAACUUAGACAAAACUUGGGAUAGGGCAGGGACCCAAAUCAAUGAAAUAAGGAUGCUGCCACCUAGGAGAAUGGACAUUCAAAAUAGAAAUUAAAGUCAUUUAUAGAAAAAGUAAAUACAAUUGCAUCAUUGCUCAAUUCUACACUUCUCAUCCAGACCUUGAGAUUUGCUCUUACUCUGAGAUAAUGCAUGUAGGUGCUUGAUAUAUAACAUAUGCUCAGUAAAUGCUAGCUACUAUUAAUAUUAUUGUUACCUUUGAUCCCAGGACAAGACCCUGAAGAAAGUCUUUGCACUCUUUAAAGAAAGUUCCAUUACUUUCUUUUAGAGAAUCAAGGAAGGAAAGGGGGGUCAUUUUAUUCCUCCCAAAGGACACUCAGGUUUGUCACAUGAACAGUCAUGGUGGGAAAAUGGGUAAUCAACAACCAGAGAGGACAUCUGUGGAGCGUCUUUAUGACUGAUAGAGUAAGUUCCCUAUGUCCCAGUUUGUUGUGGGAAGUUAGGUGGAGCCAUGUGACUAAUUCUAGCCCAUGCAAUGGAACAGAAGUCAAAUAUGCUAUUUUCCUGCACACUAAAACUUCUCUCCAACCAAAAACAAAGUACCCUGAGGGCCCAGCAGACAGGCAGAACCAUGAGAGAGGAGGAGCCUGGGUUUCUGAGAAGCUCCCUGGAGAAGAGCCCCUUGGAGGCAGCCAACUAGGACACAGGUUGGGCUGUUCCUAAGUUAGAAAUAAGCUUUUCUUGGGUUAAGCCAUUAAAACGUUGGGGCUGUUUGACACAGCAGUCUAUCCUGAUACACACUAUACAAAUACUAGAGUAUGUUCAGUGAGUUCCUGUCAACAGGAUUGUGGGUUCCCCACCCCCAUACCCCUCUCCCACCCCUGCCACCACACUUCAUCCUUCACAGCAGUCUCCUCGGAAGCCAGAGAGUGAGUGGGUACGACUGUACCUUAUUUGCCUGGUAAAUGUUCUUCCAGAUUUAGACAUUAACAAGAGUGAGCAUAAGUUGGUUUCAUUUUUAGGAACUUGAAAAUCCUAGAUUUGAGAGCAUUUUUAGAAAUAAAGGCACAUUUGUAGUCCUUUGGCCCAACCAUUAAAACAAGCAAGGAGAAAACCGAACCCUUGACAGGGACUGGUGUAAGGCCACAGAGCUGGAUAGUACUGACGCCAAAACCAGGACCCACUUCUUCAGAGCUGCCUUCAAUGUGCCUCUAGGUACUUUCAAAUGUCCAGCAUAGCAUCACAUUGACAAACUUCAAGAUUGGACCAAAGUGGACUAAAAUUCUGGCUCCACCUCUUACCAGGUGGACCAUUUUAGGAUUAGCAUUUAACUUCUUUGAGGGUCAGUUUCCUUAUCUGUAAAAUGGAAAUAAUAAUAGUAAGAGUACUUUCCUCCUAGUGUUGUCAUGGCAACUAAACAGCUCCAUGAAUUUAAAGUGCAUAGCACAAGGGCCAGGCAUGGUAGUUCACGCCUAUAAUCCCAGUGUAUUGGGAGGCCAAGGUGAGAGAAUCUCUUGAGGUUAGGAGUUCAAGAUCAGUCUGGGCAACAUAGUAAGAGCCUGUCUCUACAAAAAAAUUUUUUUUUAAUUUGGGACAUGAUGGCACAUGCCCUGUAGCCUUAGCUACUCAGGAGGCUGAAGCAACAAGAUGGCUUGACCCAGGAUGUCAAGGCUACAGUGAGCUAUGAUCAGACCACUACACUCUAGUCUGAGUGACAGAGUGAGACCCUGUCUUUAACAAAAUCAAAUUAGAUUAAAAAGUUCUUGGCACACAUCUGACUCUAAUAAAGUCUUAGUAUGUUAGUUUCUGCUAUUACUUAAAAUAAUACCAAAGUUGUAUGAAAAUAAUGGGGCAAUCUUAACAGAACCACAUCACACACAGCUUCAGGAUUAUUUCCUCUGGGAACAGAAUUAUGCAUUCCCUGCUCAUGCUUUAUUUGGGGCACUGGUUCCUUAUCCUAUAGGUAGGCCUGACUCCCUCUACCAGAUGGCAAACUUCCUGUGGCCUUUCUGUAUCCUUCAGGGCAUAGGAGUGUGACUUGCACUAAAGCUUGUUGGGGGCCGGAGCCUAGCAUGGGGAAGAUGAUUGCAAACAGGCAUGGGAGUCCCUAACACCCUAUUCUUGGCUAGGGUCCCCAUUCCUACCUCCUGCUUCAGAGCUCCAGCUCCUGCUUUGAUGAAGAGAAGGCAGCCACUCCUGGCUGUGUAACUGAAUGACCGUUAUUAAAUAUGUUGGGGCUUAGAAAGUGAUAUCCUAAAAUACGGUGCUUUGACAUGCUGGACUGAAGCAGCCUCAAGGUCUCUCUUUUUUUUUUUUUUUUUUUUUGAGACGGAGUUUCACUCUUGUUACCCAGGCUGGAGUGCAAUGACGCGAUCUCGGCUCACCGCAAUAUCCAGUGCCCGGGUUCAAGUGAUUUGCCUGCCUCAGCCUCCCGAGUAGCUGGGAUUAGAGGCAUGCGCCACCACGCCCGGCUACUUUUGUAUUUUCAGUAGGACGGGGUUUCUCCAUGUUGGUCAGGCUGGUCUCAAACUCCCGACCUCAGGUGAUCCGCCCGCCUUGGCCUCCCGAAGUGCUGGGAUUACAGGCGUGAGCCACCAUGCCCCGCAAGGUCUCUCUGACCUCCCCGCCACUCCCUGCCUAGUACUGUUUCUCAAUUCUCUGUCUCUUCCAAAGCACAGGAUAAAUUGUUCUCCCAAGAUCCCUUAUCUGCCUAAAGUUCAGACUCACCAAAGAAGACAACAAUGACCUCUAGUCCCUUUCCCAAGUUUUCAUUAACUGAACUCAUAUUGCAGGAAGAAAGACUGACGUCUGUCAACACACCUAGACAGACUUUUGUCACAAACCUGCUCUGCAGGCUCAACAGACUUUGUCCCAGGCCAUUGUAUGCUCUCCAAGUCCAUUUAUUUUCCCCUAAAAAUUAUUUACUGUCCUUUGAAUUGCCACAUUUCUCCCAUCUCCCUUCUCCUGUGAAGAAGGGUGUAUAAGCAUCUGUACGUUGUUGGAUUAUUGAGUAAUUAUUCUUCAAUUCCCCCGAGCUGUAUACCUAAAAAUAAAAAUUUGUAUACCUUUUCUCCUAUUAAUCUGCUUUGGUCAGUUGAUUUUCAGCAAGCCUUUAGAGGGCGAAGGGGAAAGUUUUCUCUUCACCCCUUGAUAUGGUUUGGAUGUUUUGUCCCCUCCAAAUCUCAUGUUGAAUGUGAUCCCUAGUGUUUGGAGGUGGGCCUAAUGGGUCCACCCACUAGUCAUGGAGGUGGAUCCCUCAUGAAUGGCUUGGUGCUGUCCUCAGGAUAAUGAGUGAGUUCUCACUCUUGAGUUCACAUGAGAUCUGGUUGCUUAAAGAAGGGUGUCACCUCCCUGCUCCCCACUCCUGGCCUUGCUCCUGCUCUUACCGUGUGACAUGCUGGCUCCCCCUUCACUUUCCACCAUGAUUGGAAACUUCCUGAGUCCCUCACCAGAAGCUGAGCAAUGUUGGUGUCAUGCUUCUUGUACAGCCUGCACAACUUUGAGCCAAUUAAACCUCUUUUCUUUACAAAUAACCCAGUCUCAGACAUUCCUUUAUAGCAACACGAGAACGGAUUAACACACCCCUACCCUAGAGAAGACUUUGACCUUGAGGAGGUCUAGAGAAGGUAGUAGCCACAGAAAUGCGUGGCCACCAACAAGCAAACCUAAUUUCUAGGCUCUCGCUAUCAAUCCAUUCAGUCCUCAAGGCAAGAACUUCUAUGAAAACCAGAAGACUGGAAAACCUUGCUAAUUCUAGCUACUUGUUCUAGGGGUUACAAUUCCCAUUUGGGUACACGUAUCUCUAGAAGCCAGGCUUGCUCUCAGAACCUUGACCACUUCAUACCACACCCCCAGGGGACGGGGAGCUUGGGAGCAUGAAAUUCAGAUUAAACUGGCUAUAGCUCUGGAAAAGGGAGAGAUUGGAAACUACUCCUCUAAGAAUCAGUUUCUCUAUUCGUUGAUUGAUUAGCAUUUGAGGAUUAUCCAGGAAUCAGAAUAUUCCAAGGCUGCUUCUGCCAGUUAGCAGUAAAACUUCAAAUUUCCUUGGCCUAGGCUCCUGCUUGCAUAACCCUGAACUUUGACCUCCCACUUUCAUUUUAGGAGGCCUCAGUGGUGCACCAUGAGCUCACAGAUGACUUGGCCAUGGAAGCCAAGGCAAGCAUUGGCAUGUCCAUUUCUACCAGUCUGUGAGGAAGCCGAGGUCCCAGUCCAGGGCAUCAACCCAGGGAUCCUGGGCUGCCAGCCUUAGAGAUGACAACUGUGCAGCCAUCAUCCCUGGGACCCUCACUACUCAGCGAGCCAUGUUGUGUACCCCUUUAGGGGGUGCAAUGAACAUCUCCCUAGCCCACAUGGCACAGUGACCCUUUUGUACCCAAGCAGCCUCUGCCAAUGCCACUCUGCACAGUUCAGGUUCAGAUACCAGGCCAGAGCCUGUCACAGGGUAGACCCAUGAAUGUAGCAGGGUGCAAAACUGAUAUUUUUUAGCUAAAGAAGCAUGAAGUUAAAGGCUGCCAGCACCUCCCAGGACUUGGUUGAAACAGGAAGUCAUCUUGGAGCAUUUUUUUUUUUUUUUUUAGAAAUGAGGUCUUGCUGUAUCGCCCAGCUUGAACUUGAACUUUUGGGCUCAAGGGUUCCUCCCACUUCAGCCUCCCCAGUAGCUGGGACUACAGACGUGCUAUCACCUCACCUGGCAAGAUUUUUUACUACCUCACCUGGCAAGAUUUUCUUUAUUCUAUGACAAUACCUUCAGUGGCCCCUUCUAGUCAUGUAAAUGUGAAGGCUAAAAGGUGCUCCCUGCCCUGGGAAAAGGGUGCAGCACCAUCUUCUGUAGAAGACAAAGGCCUGUCUACCAUCCUUGAUAUGCAGAGUUGGUUUCAAGCAAAGAGGGGGCCAAUUUACAAAGACGCACAGGAUCUUCUAGGGCUUGGGCAUGCUGAUGUGGCUGAUAAGAAAGGAUGACAGGAGUUCACCUCCAGGGAGGCAGUGCCUGACCAUGGCCUGGGAUCAGUCAGAAACGCUGAGAGAUUGCCUGGUUCUGCCACUUUGAGUCUUCCGCAGCUACCCUGCAAAGAAGCCUGGCUUUGAGAAUAGUGAUAGGGCAUGAACCCACAGAACAGAGGACCUUGUGAAAACAACCAGUUCAAAAUCUGAGAUGUUAAAACUUUAUUUUAAGCCUAAAGAAUAUGAUUAUGGGGCCUGAGACGUGAUAGGUGGCUGAAACCUAGGCAGCUGUAACCUGUGUUUCUCUAAUCACAGAUAAGCCUUCUUCCUUACCUACAUUAUUUUGUAAAAUGUUAUGAAUGACUAAAGGGCACCAGGGAAAAUCCUUUCCCUCUUACUGUUUGUCUUCAUUAUAGAUAAACUUUCUUCUUACCUCUCUCACACAGAGACUUCAUGGUGAUCACGUUAUCUAAAACGGAUUGUUAAAGCUAUUUUAAAUCGGAAAGGACAUGAAAACAAGCCCUAAGGGAAGGAAAAAAACUAACAAAUUGUCGUAACUCAUAAACCAUUCUUGUAUAGAAAAUGUUGUAAUCCUGUUAAAUUUCUUUGUUUCCUUCCUAUAUAAGCAAGAUUUGAACUUUAUAACUUAGGUGCACUGACCCCAUUUCUCUGGAGUCUGUGUUAUCUGAAUGACUAUUCUCAGCCUUUCACGUGAAUAAAUGCUUUAAACUGGC
Molecule: RNA transcript, 11218 nt
Organism: Symphalangus syndactylus (siamang)
Lineage: Eukaryota; Metazoa; Chordata; Mammalia; Primates; Hylobatidae
Gene name: protein Jade-3-like
Source: RefSeq, a predicted model, not a curated record